Molecule: long non-coding RNA, 641 nt
Organism: Perca flavescens (yellow perch)
Lineage: Eukaryota; Metazoa; Chordata; Actinopteri; Perciformes; Percidae
Exons: 3
Source: RefSeq, a predicted model, not a curated record
GCUGUGAAGCAGUGAGCUAGAAAACAUCUGCUACUGUAGCUAACAGCUGGUUGUCGUGGACUCAAAUGGCUCUAAUACUUUCUGCCGCCGAGAAAACCAGGAAACGACAUGUCAAAACAAAUAUCCACAUUUAAAGAAACACGGCAGAUCCAGUUUUUGGAGAAAAUCUUCAGAUGAACAGCAAUUGACUGUCAGUGUGGCUCUACCAGAGAGCUCCCGCCAGGAUACGAUGAGGCCAGCCUCUUUCUAAACAGCACAAUUCAACAGUGGAAGAGGGAUAUCUGUCACUUUGUCACGGACAAUGACAAUGACAAUGAAGGGGAGGCAGGACUGUGGCACAAGACUUGCAGAACUGAGUGGGAAAUAGAUGAAAGAAAUGCCAUGGUACGUCAGUCUGAUGAAUUCCUUCUGCUGGCCACGUCUGCUCACCUUCUGCUGGAUCUGCUGCACCAUGUGUGUGUGUGUGUGUGUGUUCGUUGUGUUGUCUAUGCAUGUGUUCAAGUGUGUGACAGUUAUACAUCUGUGAAAGUGAGUGAUGAGUUGCAUUUUUUGUGUCAUUUAUCAACCAUUCCUUGACGUGUGAAAUCAAUGGAAUGUGACCAAAAACAGCACAUCAAAUUAGACAAAUAUACAGAAAGCAU